AAUGAGCUUGAGCCGGUUUUUGACUGGUUUUGCUGAUAACCAAGGAAUGUAGGCUUAGCAGUAAAUGCCAUUAGUGUCGUAGACUGGGCAAGGAUUGCCAGAAGAAGAUCAGUUUAAUAAGUUUAGCCGGAUAUCUGUUUUCUUAGCUUAUCUUUUGGGAUUUUAACAGGUUUUGUAAGUGGGGAUGUUGCGCCAUAUUAAUCCCAAUUUAUUUUAAAAAUAAAU
Molecule: non-coding RNA, 225 nt
Organism: Paramuricea clavata
Lineage: Eukaryota; Metazoa; Cnidaria; Anthozoa; Malacalcyonacea; Plexauridae
Source: the annotation of a GenBank genome assembly